RNAcentral lists this long non-coding RNA (1360 nucleotides) under Lactuca sativa (garden lettuce). RNAcentral's name for it is "long non-coding RNA (LSAT_LNC007118)". The record is from RNAcentral. Lineage: Eukaryota; Viridiplantae; Streptophyta; Magnoliopsida; Asterales; Asteraceae.
GCAAAUCCAUUUUUCAAACUCAAAGAAAAUCACAAAUGGCAACUGCUCUCAUGUCUUCUCUCCCUCAAUUCACUGGCCUCAAAGCCACCUCACCAUCACCCACCCCAAUCCAAAGCAUGGUAAGUUUAUUCUACUUCUUGUAAUAGUUUUUUUGAAUCAUUGUGUCGAUUUUUUUGUUUUUAAAUUAACAAAUGUCUUGUAGAAACAUGAAAAAAGUCAUUUUAUAUUGCCAAAUACAAUAGGUAACUGGUAAAAUUGCUUUUAUGCGUUGAAAUGAAUCGGUGCGGGUUGACAUGAUUUGUCCAAGUUCUUUUAGUUUUUAACAAUUGCAAGUAUACUAGAUAUAAUGACAAAAAUUAUAUUAUUAUAAUAAUAUUUUAAAAUUUUAGUAUACAAACUAAAAAUCUAGUUUUAAGCAACUUUUAUCUUGUUACAACAAGCUAUAAAUAUUUUUACCAACCUCUAGUUUGCAGCAAGUCAAAGUAAGGUAAUUCAAUAAGUCAACCAUGAUCGGCCCUUUUUCGUUGUUGCAAACUAAUAAUGGUUGUUUCAUAAAUGAGAAAAUGGUAAAUUUGUAAGAACGAAUAGUUACUGAGAAUUGUGUAGAUAUAUAAAUAUGAAAAAACCAUUAAAUAUGUAUGUUUGAUUAAAUGUAGUGGUUUAUUAUAAUAAAAAAGUCAAAUAUAAUACCCAAAAAGUUUAUAUGUUUCAUAUUUUUUUGGUACUUAGUAAUCAAUUUUUCAUGUUUUGUAGUAAUUUAAAUAAAAAUGUUGAUCAACUUAGCAGUGGAUAAAAAAAUUAAGUUUUUUGGAGGAAUUUUGUAUUUACUAGUAAUCAUUCAAGUAAUUUGUUUUUUGUUUAUUCUGAUUAUGUAAUGAGUAUAAUGUUUAUAAAUCUUAUAUUCCUCUUAGUAAUUAAUUUAUAUUAUAAAAAACACCGUUUGUUUUUUUUUCAUCUUUAUUUUUCACAUGUUAUACUUAAAACUGAUGUGGUUAUAAAAUACAACCAGGUAGCAUUACCAAUGAAGCCUAAGGGAAAGGGAAAGGGAGCUCUAGGUGUUCGUUGUGAUUUCAUUGGGUCAUCCACAAAUUUGGUAAAUUAUUUCUAUUCAAGCAUUUUUAUAUUCAAUUAUAUCAAAUGAAUGCAUGACAAUAAACGAAUAGUUAAGAGUUUCUAUAGGCUAAUUGUUUGGGUAUAUAGAUCAUGGUGACAUCAACAACCUUGAUGCUGUUUGCUGGUCGAUUUGGAUUGGCACCAUCAGCAAACAGGAAGGCAACUGCGGGGCUAAAGCUUGAGGUAAGGGAUUCAGGCCUCCAAACUGGCGACCCUGCUGGCUUCACUCUUGCUGAUACUUUAGCUU